This 291-nucleotide long non-coding RNA is filed under the name Lathyrus oleraceus (garden pea). RNAcentral describes it as "Pisum sativum (pea) long non-coding RNA (PSAT_LNC000591)". The record is from RNAcentral. Lineage: Eukaryota; Viridiplantae; Streptophyta; Magnoliopsida; Fabales; Fabaceae.
AUCAAUUCAAUUCAUACAAUGUCUAACAAUUAUAAAUGGUAAUGUGGAAGCACGAAGAUCACUAAGGACUUUUCGGUUGAAGCUUGGUUAUGGUUAACAAACAAGGGUCAUUUCUAAGGCCAUUGAAAACGAAAUUGCCGAUGCAAAAGAGACAUUCACUGUCAUUAUUCACACAUCUCAACUUCGUUCCAUUUAUUUCUCAUUUGAAACCUUCACAACUCUUAUUUCGCCACUCAAUUUUUGUUUUUCACUAUUUUUCUUCCAAGCAAGCAUUCAUUUUCAUUUUCUCUA